GCAGAAGUGGCGGAACUGGCAGACGCGCAAGACUAAGGAUCUUGUGUCCGCAAGGAUGUAGGGGUUCGAGUCCCCUCUUCUGCACCA
Molecule: transfer RNA, 87 nt
Filed under: Candidatus Cloacimonadota bacterium
Lineage: Bacteria; Pseudomonadati; Candidatus Cloacimonadota
Also listed under: 1 other name
Description: tRNA-Leu
Rfam family: tRNA
About the family: Transfer RNA (tRNA) molecules are approximately 80 nucleotides in length.
Source: RNAcentral